Cucumis sativus (cucumber) is the source of this 1207-nucleotide long non-coding RNA. RefSeq lists it as uncharacterized. NCBI's taxonomy places the organism in Eukaryota, Viridiplantae, Streptophyta, Magnoliopsida, Cucurbitales, Cucurbitaceae. The record is from RefSeq and is a predicted model, not a curated record. The transcript has 3 exons.
CCCCUUCUAAACCCUUAAUUUUUCCCCAAUUGCUUCCUCCCAUCCGCGUUUCUCUCCUAAAUUUUCCCCAUUCCUCCUGUGCGCGUUUCUUCCCAUUCCGGCCAUCUUAAGUCUCGUUGCCACCACUUCCCUCCUCAUGCCCGUCCGUCCAAACCUCCUCCUCCUCGUCACCAACACCCCGUCGCCACCACUCUAUCUUCUCCAAACCUCCGCAAUCAACUUGAAGCUUCAAAUCGUGGACAUCGGUCGUCACCCCUCCGUCGGUGGAGCCACCAUGUUGCUGAUGCCACCAAGUUGCUGACUGAUUUAGAAGAAUUGUGAUUUAAAAUUAUCCUUAUUUCUAAUGCCACCAUGUUGCUGGACUAAAAGAAACAUAAUAAAUCACUUGUUUAUAUAAGAUAAAUCAUUUGUUGGACUAAGGAUUUUGCUCGGACCCUCUUCAUCUACUAGGUACUUUUCUCUCUGUCUUUCAAAGCUAUUAAACACUCAAAGUUAGUCACUGAAUCCUCCACCCCAUUUAGACCCCUUCUGUUUUUGUAUUUCAAAAUCAACUUUGGUUUUUUUUUUUUUUUUUUUAAAUUUUGGAUUCAAUAUUUAUGAGUAAUGAAUACAAACAUUGGGCAAAUUGAUUCGCCCAGAUUUGGUCAUCUUGGCUACCGAAUAUAGAGGGGAUUUGAAGUAUAAAGAUUACAUAUUCAAUGUUAAAUAUGUAGAAAACAUUAUGUUUGUCAUUGUUCUAAAAGAACGUUCUGUUAGUAAGAUGAAUAGAUAACUCUUGAAGGUUCAAAUUUAAUAUUUAAACGGUAAUUCAUUUGUGGUUGGAGGGGAUCAAACCUCUACAACCUUUGGAGAGACAUGUCAUUUACCAUCAAGUUAUACUCUUUUUUAGAUAUAAGUAAGCUGCAAUAAUUGUGGAACGUUUGCUCAUUUUCCCUCUCUUACACUUUCUAGCAUGAUCAUUGCGACAGAUUGUGGUUUGUUAUUGAUACAACUUUCUUUUUCCUUUUAGUUGGGCUCUUUAUUCAUUGGAACUUCAUUUUGUGCCGAUAUUGUGUAAUUCAUUUGGUAGAACUUUUGGGAAAAAAAUUUCUUCUAUAAUAUAACAAGCUAAAGACAAGAUCAACCUCCCAAGAUCCUAGCUAAAAGGUUCAACCGGAGUCGACAACUUCAUGAGUUUUCUUUCAAAGAACAUUUUCAGAGACGAACA